RNAcentral lists this ribosomal RNA (492 nucleotides) under uncultured bacterium. Its description in RNAcentral is "partial 16S ribosomal RNA". It matches the Rfam family "Bacterial small subunit ribosomal RNA", at positions 28 to 507 of the family's 1533-position model. The record is from RNAcentral.
GAUGAACGCUAGCUACAGGCUUAACACAUGCAAGUCGAGGGGAAACGACAUCGAAAGCUUGCUUUUGAUGGGCGUCGACCGGCGCACGGGUGAGUAACGCGUAUCCAACCUGCCCACCACUUGGGGAUAACCUUGCGAAAGUAAGACUAAUACCCAAUGACGUCUCUAGAAGACAUCUGAAAGAGAUUAAAGAUUUAUCGGUGAUGGAUGGGGAUGCGUCUGAUUAGCUUGUUGGCGGGGUAACGGCCCACCAAGGCGACGAUCAGUAGGGGUUCUGAGAGGAAGGUCCCCCACAUUGGAACUGAGACACGGUCCAAACUCCUACGGGAGGCAGCAGUGAGGAAUAUUGGUCAAUGGACGAGAGCCUGAACCAGCCAAGUAGCGUGCAGGAUGACGGCCCUAUGGGUUGUAAACUGCUUUUAUAAGGGAAUAAAGUGAGUCUCGUGAGACUUUUUGCAUGUACCUUAUGAAUAAGGACCGGCUAAUUCCGUG